GGCGUUAAGUUGCAGGGUAUAGACCCGAAACCCGGUGAUCUAGCCAUGGGCAGGUUGAAGGUUGGGUAACACUAACUGGAGGACCGAACCGACUAAUGUUGAAAAAUUAGCGGAUGACCUGUGGCUGGGGGUGAAAGGCCAAUCAAACCGGGAGAUAGCUGGUUCUCCCCGAAAGCUAUUUAGGUAGCGCCUCGUGAAUUCAUCUCCGGGGGUAGAGCACUGUUUCGGCUAGGGGGCCAUCCCGGCUUACCAACCCGAUGCAAACUGCGAAUACCGGAGAAUGUUAUCACGGGAGACACACGGCGGGUGCUAACGUCCGUCGUGAAGAGGGAAACAACCCAGACCGCCAGCUAAGGUCCCAAAGUCAUGGUUAAGUGGGAAACGAUGUGGGAAGGCCCAGACAGCCAGGAUGUUGGCUUAGAAGCAGCCAUCAUUUAAAGAAAGCGUAAUAGCUCACUGGUCGAGUCGGCCUGCGCGGAAGAUGUAACGGGGCUAAACCAUGCAC
This 505-nucleotide ribosomal RNA is filed under the name Salmonella enterica. RNAcentral's name for it is "partial 23S ribosomal RNA". It matches the Rfam family "Bacterial large subunit ribosomal RNA", at positions 691 to 1194 of the family's 2925-position model. Lineage: Bacteria; Pseudomonadati; Pseudomonadota; Gammaproteobacteria; Enterobacterales; Enterobacteriaceae. The record is from RNAcentral. RNAcentral also lists the same sequence under 3 other names.